GAGAGCACAGGGGGUUUUCUGUAUGAGACUCAGUCUGUUACACUGAACCAAACCCUCAGUGCUGACUGUGAGCAGAGCUGGUAUUCACUGGACAGGCAUCUGAUCGCAGAUCCAUUAAAACCUCACGAACUGAUUGAUCCUGUGACGUCUGUCUCUUCUGAUCGUCUCGUCACGUCUCAGUGUGUGAAUCUGAAUCAUGAGAUCAUCUGUGAUUCUGCUGAUGGAACUCAUUUCAGUCGUGAGAGCGUGUUCAGAGUGAGGAAUGAAACUGCAGUGACUCCAGACUCAGAUGUUCUGAAUGAAGUGACUCUCCAGCUCUCGGAUCAUUGGCUGUGGAUUCUGGUUGUUUUUAUUUGUGUAGUCCUCAUCAUCAUCUUGAUCUGUUUCUUGUGGCAGA
Long non-coding RNA from Carassius auratus (goldfish), 397 nucleotides. RefSeq lists it as uncharacterized. Lineage: Eukaryota; Metazoa; Chordata; Actinopteri; Cypriniformes; Cyprinidae. The transcript is spliced from 6 exons. The record is from RefSeq and is a predicted model, not a curated record.